UACAGAGGUCCCAAGCGUUGUUCGGAUUCACUGGGCGUAAAGGGUGCGCAGGCGGCCGUGUGUGUGAGGCGUGAAAGCCCGGGGCUUAACCCCGGAAUUGCACCUCAAACUACACGGCUAGAGCAUUGGAGAGGGUAGCAGAAUUCACGGUGUAGCAGUGAAAUGCGUAGAUAUCGUGAGGAAUACCAGAGGCGAAGGCGGCUACCUGGACAAUUGCUGACGCUCAGGCACGAAAGCGUGGGGAGCAAAAGGG
Molecule: ribosomal RNA, 253 nt
Filed under: uncultured bacterium
Lineage: Bacteria
Description: partial 16S ribosomal RNA
Rfam family: Bacterial small subunit ribosomal RNA
Source: RNAcentral